GCCUGGGUGGCUCAGUCGGUGAAGCAUCCGAUUUCGGCUCAGGUUAUAAUCUCAUAGUUUGUGGGUUCGAGCCCCACAUCAGGCU
RNAcentral lists this transfer RNA (85 nucleotides) under Felis catus (domestic cat). It matches the Rfam family "tRNA". From Rfam's summary of the family: Transfer RNA (tRNA) molecules are approximately 80 nucleotides in length. Their secondary structure includes four short double-helical elements and three loops (D, anti-codon, and T loops). Lineage: Eukaryota; Metazoa; Chordata; Mammalia; Carnivora; Felidae. The record is from Rfam by way of RNAcentral.